Non-coding RNA from Vicia faba (fava bean), 327 nucleotides. The record is from the annotation of a GenBank genome assembly. NCBI's taxonomy places the organism in Eukaryota, Viridiplantae, Streptophyta, Magnoliopsida, Fabales, Fabaceae.
AGUUCAGAGUGCUCACCUGGAGACAUGAUUGCUUCUUUAAAGGUCUUGAAAUCACACCAGCAAGGAUUAGAGCAUUUUUGCCUAAAGUUAAAUGGGAUUCAUUGCCUUCUAUGCAUAUUACUGGUCGUACUGGUGCAGGAUGUGAAUCAAAGUAUGUAUUUCUUAAUUGAUGAACUUCUGUUUUCUAUGCAAGUAAAGAUGGUUAUUGAUGAAAAAUCUUUGUGCUUUUAUGGUUUUGUUAUUGCUCUAUUCUCAUGCUUCAUAUCAUAUCUCGUCUUAUUAAUAUUAGAAUUACAUCGACUAUGUUAUUUAGUUACUGUGAUUUGA